Molecule: ribosomal RNA, 120 nt
Filed under: Lepisosteus oculatus (spotted gar)
Lineage: Eukaryota; Metazoa; Chordata; Actinopteri; Semionotiformes; Lepisosteidae
Source: RNAcentral
GCCAGCCAGCUAUAACAACCUGCGACUCACAACUGACAACCCACUGAAGCCAAGCAGGUGUGAGCCUGGUCAGUACCUGGAUGGGAGACCUCCUGGGAAAAACUAAGGUUGCUGCUGAAA